UAUUUAAAGAUUAAAAAAUCACCCUAACAGCUUCAAUGUUAUACUCUUAUUAAGCUAUUUAAAU
RNAcentral lists this transfer RNA (64 nucleotides) under Corydalus sp. 3 YLJ-2021a. Its description in RNAcentral is "tRNA-Phe". The record is from RNAcentral. Lineage: Eukaryota; Metazoa; Arthropoda; Insecta; Megaloptera; Corydalidae.